GCACCUUUAGCUCAGUCGGCAGAGCAACUGACUCUUAAUCAGUAGGCCCAGGGUUCGAAUCCCUGAAGGUGCA
This 73-nucleotide transfer RNA is filed under the name Tissierellia bacterium. RNAcentral's name for it is "tRNA-Lys". It matches the Rfam family "tRNA". Rfam says of the family: Transfer RNA (tRNA) molecules are approximately 80 nucleotides in length. Their secondary structure includes four short double-helical elements and three loops (D, anti-codon, and T loops). The record is from RNAcentral. Lineage: Bacteria; Bacillati; Bacillota; Tissierellia.